AAAUACCGCGUGGAUUAAUUC
Molecule: unclassified non-coding RNA, 21 nt
Filed under: Mus musculus (house mouse)
Lineage: Eukaryota; Metazoa; Chordata; Mammalia; Rodentia; Muridae
Description: oocyte_clustered_small_RNA4805
Source: RNAcentral